UACAGAGGUGGCAAGCGUUGUUCGGAAUUACGGGGCGUAAAGGGCGCGUAGGCGGUCUUGUAAGUCUUGUGUGAAAUCCCUCGGCUUAACUGAGGAACUGCACGAGAUACUGCGAGACUUGAGUUCGGGAGAGGAAAGCGGAAUUCCGGGUGUAGCGGUGAAAUGCGUAGAUAUCCGGAGGAACACCGGUGGCGAAGGCGGCUUUCUGGACCGACACUGACGCUGAGGCGCGAAAGCCGGGGGAGCAAACGGG
RNAcentral lists this ribosomal RNA (253 nucleotides) under uncultured bacterium. Its description in RNAcentral is "partial 16S ribosomal RNA". It matches the Rfam family "Bacterial small subunit ribosomal RNA", at positions 524 to 776 of the family's 1533-position model. The record is from RNAcentral.